AGAGUUUGAUCCUGGCUCAGAUUGAACGCUGGCGGUAUGCUUAACACAUGCAAGUCGAACGGUAGCAGGCCUUCGGGCGCUGACGAGUGGCGGACGGGUGAGUAACGCGUAGGAAUCUGCCUGGUAGUGGGGGACGACUUAGGGAACCUUAAGCUAAUACCGCAUACGCUCCUUAUUGCAAGAUGGGGAGGAAAGCGGGGGACCUUCGGGCCUUGCGCUAUCAGAUGAGCCUGCGUUGGAUUAGCUGGUUGGUGGGGUAAAGGCCUACCAAGGCGACGAUCCAUAGCUGGUCUGAGAGGACGAUCAGCCACACUGGGACUGAGACACGGCCCAGACUCCUACGGGAGGCAGCAGUGGGGAAUAUUGGACAAUGGGCGCAAGCCUGAUCCAGCAAUACCGCGUGUGUGAAGAAGGCCUUAGGGUUGUAAAGCACUUUCAAUGGGGAGGAAAACCUGCCGGUCAAUACCCGGCAGCUUGACAUUACCUAUAGAAGAAGCACCGGCUAACUCCGUGCCAGCAGCCGCGGUAAUACGGAGGGUGCGAGCGUUAAUCGGAAUUACUGGGCGUAAAGCGUGCGUAGGCGGCUCGUUAAGUCAGAUGUGAAAGCCCCGGGCUCAACCUGGGAACGGCAUUUGAAACUGGCGAGCUAGAGUUGAGUAGAGGUAAGUGGAAUUUCAGGUGUAGCGGUGAAAUGCGUAGAUAUCUGAAGGAACACCAGUGGCGAAGGCGACUUACUGGACUCAAACUGACGCUGAGGUACGAAAGCGUGGGUAGCAAACAGGAUUAGAUACCCUGGUAGUCCACGCCGUAAACGAUGUCAACUAGCCGUUGGUUCUAUUUACAGAAUUAGUGGCGCAGCUAACGCAUUAAGUUGACCGCCUGGGGAGUACGGCCGCAAGGUUAAAACUCAAAUGAAUUGACGG
RNAcentral lists this ribosomal RNA (923 nucleotides) under uncultured bacterium. RNAcentral's name for it is "bacterial SSU rRNA". It matches the Rfam family "Bacterial small subunit ribosomal RNA", at positions 8 to 916 of the family's 1533-position model. The record is from RNAcentral.